Molecule: ribosomal RNA, 116 nt
Filed under: Esox lucius (northern pike)
Lineage: Eukaryota; Metazoa; Chordata; Actinopteri; Esociformes; Esocidae
Source: RNAcentral
GCUUACCGGCACACCUCCCUGAGACCCGCGAUCUCGUCUGAUCUCGGAAGCUAAGCAGGGUCGGGCCCGGUAGUACUUGGAUGGGAGACCGCCUGGGAAUACCAGUGCUGUAAGCC